Molecule: non-coding RNA, 99 nt
Filed under: Nocardia nova
Lineage: Bacteria; Bacillati; Actinomycetota; Actinomycetes; Mycobacteriales; Nocardiaceae
Also listed under: 1 other name
Description: Fluoride sequence
Rfam family: Fluoride riboswitch aptamer (crcB RNA motif)
Source: RNAcentral
GAAGAUGUAGGCGAUGGAGCUCGCCUCAACCGCGCCAGCCGAGGUCCUGUGACGAUGCGGGCCUUUACAGCGGUUCGCGCUGAUAGCUCCUACCGAUCC